ACAACUAAAAUAUAAACCACUGCAUUAAACAACAACAGCCACACAUACACAUCAUACUUCAUCAUCAGACAAAAAAAUAUAACAACAACAACAUCCACCACUGCAAUAACUGCUUCUCAACAAGCAGCAAAAAAAAUCAUCAUCCAUCAGCACCAGUGAUCAUUACAAAAAAAAAAAUCAAUUGUGUCGCGAUGCGUUAUGGCAAUGAACACAGUAUAUUAAUGUUACGUAUCUCCAAACGCUGACAUUCUACUGGUCGAAAGCUAACAGCUCAAAACUGCGAACUUGGCAGAAACAUCUGUUCUGCCCCAUUUCUGGUUUUAUACAUAAAUGUCAUAUACCCAAAGUGGUUAUUCUUUUUUUUUAACACAGACUUCCAAACUAUUCGGUCUUCAUUUUGUAAGCUCUAUAGAAAUCAAUAAACUUGAAUUGUUUUGUAUUUUGGGUAGAAGGUUUUCAUUUCACUGGAAAUACAGUAAGUACAAGAAUACAACAGUGGCGACGAGGAGGAGCAAGAACCAACCCAGAUUAAGAUGAAUGCUGAGCAAUUGAGGAUGCUUUUAUCUGCGAUCGAAACUGCGAUUCAAAGUAACACUACCGGUCAAUCAAAGCAAGAAAUCAUACAACUUGAGAAUUUCAAUGAAGAUAACGAAAGUUGGGAGAUAUUUAUAAAGAGACUGGAACCUUUCUUGAGUUUGAAGAAUAUAACUGGGACUUCUAAUGAGGUAUUAAAGAGCAAAAAAGAUUGGCUAAUCCAUGCAAUUGGUACAAAAACAUUACAACUUCUGUGUAAUCUGACAAGCCCGGAUGAUCCUCAGUCUUAAACUUAUGACGAAUUAGUUAAAUUAGUUAAAGAUCAUCUACAUCCAGCUCCCAGUGUAAUCGCUUAACAAAAUCAAUUCACAAAACGUAUUCAACACGAGGGAGAGAGCAUAUCAAAUUUUGUGGCAGAUUUAAAAAAGAUGUACAAAAAUUGUAAUUUUAAAUGCGCAUCUUGUAAUGCAUCAACAGCCGAUGCACAUCAAAGGCAACAAUUCAUUAGUGGACUCAGAAAUGCCCACUGGUUAGAGAAACUUAUUCAACUCAAGGAACCAAACAACAAUUUCAUUGAUUGCGUCACAGCUACUCUAGCAAUGGAGUCAGCACAAAAAGAUUCAAAGGAAAUCCAAAACCUACAAGCGACAUCGACAAUGAAUCAUCAAAAUCAGUAAUGAAAAUUUUAUCCUCAUGGAAAAGCUAAACUAGUUGUUUUCGUUGUGGAGACAAGCAGCAUUCAAGUAAUGAAUGUAGUCACAUUCAAACCAUAUGUUCGAAAUGUAGAAAAAUUGGACGACUUGCCAAAAUCAGCUACAGCCAUUUGAUUUGCAGGCAGACGAGCAUGAACUUUUUUACAUCAAUCAUCUGAGUGAAGUUAUUCUCCCCAAAGAGAAAAACAAACCAAGCAAAAUUAUGUUAAGAGGUUAGGUUAGAUGGUGUCUUAAAAAAUUUGGAGUUGGACACAGGAGCAGCGGUUUCAUCUAUUUCACAUGAAGAUUUCACGUACACAGGUGAGGUUAUUCAUCCUCUGGGAUACGCAACCAUGCAGGUCGAAUAUGGGGACGAAGUGCGCAGUGCGAACAUUAACGUAAUGCCUGGGAAGGUUGACUCAAUUUUUGGCAGAGAGUGGCUCAAAAUCUUCCAAAUUAAUAAUUUUUUAUUUUUAAGAUCCUUACCGCAAAAUAGAAAUAAAAUUAAAACAAUAAUAAAAUAAAAUUAAAAAACAAA
Episyrphus balteatus (marmalade hoverfly) is the source of this 1764-nucleotide long non-coding RNA. RefSeq lists it as uncharacterized. The record is from RefSeq and is a predicted model, not a curated record. Lineage: Eukaryota; Metazoa; Arthropoda; Insecta; Diptera; Syrphidae. The transcript has 3 exons.